GUGUUUAAAUGUUCAAUUAACAUAAUCUGUUUCUAAGAACCAUGUGUUUAAAUGUUCAAUUAACAUAAUUCGUUUCUAAGAUCCAUGUGUUUAAAUGUUCACUUAAAAUAAUCCGUUUCUAAGAACCAUGUGUUUAAAUGUUCAAUUAACAUAAUCCGUUUCUAAGAUCCAUGUGUUUAAGUGUUCAAUAACAAUCCAUUUCUAAGAUCUAAAUGUUUACUAAACAUAAUCCUUUUCUAAGAUCUAUGUGUUUAAAUGUUGAUUAAACAUAAUCCAUUUCGAAGAUCCAUGUGUUUAAAUGUAAAUUUAAAAGAAUCCUUUUCUAAGAUCCAUGUGUUUAAAUGGUAGCAUAAGCAGUUAGUUAUUAUUAUAGACCUCAUCUUAAACAAUUCUUUACCACUGAAACUAUUGACAUCAUAAAACAAUCACUUUUGUUUUGUGGAGUCCAACAUUGUUUUGACAAGUUUUCUCUUCUGAUGUCAAAAUUUUAAAGGAACGUCAUAUAUGUUCAGUAGUUGCUGACAAAUAGCGAUAAGGUGCAUUAUGGGUAGUUUCUAAUUGUUUACAUCCUAUGGAUAAGCCUGUGUCAUGACUCGGUUUUCACUUUAAUCCCUCUUAU
Mytilus californianus (California mussel) is the source of this 619-nucleotide long non-coding RNA. RefSeq lists it as uncharacterized. The record is from RefSeq and is a predicted model, not a curated record. NCBI's taxonomy places the organism in Eukaryota, Metazoa, Mollusca, Bivalvia, Mytilida, Mytilidae. The transcript has 2 exons.